CCUACGGGAGGCAGCAGUGAGGAAUAUUGGUCAAUGGUCGGGAGACUGAACCAGCCAAGCCGCGUGAGGGAUGAAGGUACAGAGUAUCGUAAACCUCUUUUGUCAGGGAACAAAGGCGGGGACGUGUCCCCGGAUGAGUGUACCUGAAGAAAAAGCAUCGGCUAACUCCGUGCCAGCAGCCGCGGUAAUACGGAGGAUGCGAGCGUUAUCCGGAGUUAUGGGGUUAAAGGGGUGCGCAGGCGGUGUGUUAAGUCAGCGGUCAAAGCCCGGGGCUCAACCGCGGCCCGCCGUUGAAACUGGCAGUCUCGAGUUGGAGAGAGGUAUGCGGAAUGCGCGGUGUAGCGGUGAAAUGCAUAGAUAUCGCGCAGAACUCCGAUUGCGAAGGCAGCAUGCCGGCUCCACACUGACGCUGAGGCACGAAAGCGUGGGUAUCGAACAGGAUUAGAUACCCUAGUAGUC
RNAcentral lists this ribosomal RNA (459 nucleotides) under uncultured bacterium. RNAcentral's name for it is "partial 16S ribosomal RNA". It matches the Rfam family "Bacterial small subunit ribosomal RNA", at positions 338 to 795 of the family's 1533-position model. The record is from RNAcentral.